CUGUUUGGGGCUGGAAUACAGCGCCAGGUUGGAGACAACAUCCUCCAGGUGGAGGGGGGCUGUCCUACAGGAUGGGUAAACACUCUGAACCAGGGGCGCCUCCAUGAUGCCAGAUGACACACACCCAGGAGCCCUAAGGUAUCACUUCUCAAGAUCACACCCAGUGACUCAUUCUUUAAACGUUGGCUUCCUCUUCCUGUCCGGCUGAACUCUGCUGUUUGGGGGAACUUUCUGUUUCCACCAGAGAGGACAACGUAGUGAAUUGUGUGAGUGGAGGCCUCUCCUGAACUAUUGGGGGGGGGGGGGAUCUCAGGAGCGCCACUGUGGGGUCAGGCAAAGAUUGGGGCAGGGAGCAGGAAAGAGCUGCCUCUGCACCGGGGGCCAAGGAGGUGUGCGAGUGGAGCCGGGGGACCACCCUGGAGGACCUCCAACUGGCACCGUGUCCUGACUCCUUAGGCAGGGCCUGAUGCCAGGCUCACAGAGACCCCUUCCCCUAUGCAGACCACAGAAGGACAGAGAGGGUCUGUGCCUACCCCCUCCGCAGGGGCACAAAGGCGGGCAUGCAAGCUCCACAUCCCUCCCCCACCAUCCCAUGCGCCCCCCCCCCCCACUUCUGCCGCGCUCACGGCGUCCAGCGCACCCCCCCUCCCCAGUCCCUCCCACCUCCGUAGGGCACGCAGCCUGCUAGACAGGGCUCCCGGACCCCUCCCGACCACCCCACCCGGUCGCGAUUCGCGCGGGCUGGGUCUCAAAGCCUCCUUGGUUGUCCGCCUGGAAGGCACCCAGCGGCAGCAGCGCCCGGUUAGCUCGGAGUCGCGCACCGACCGCAGCCGCCACCCAGGCCCCGCCCAGAGGCAGCCGCGAGCAAGGCCGCGCCAGGGACGACUGCGGAGCGCGGUGUCUGACCUAAUCCACCUCCGGAGCCGGAUCUUUCUGCGUCUGGGUCCUCGGCAAAGACUGCUGGUGAGUGGGAGCCGGGACGCCCCGUGUCUGAGGGAGGAGGGGCUGGGGGCCCGGCCUCCUUGGGUCUGAGGGCAGAGGGGGCUUCCCGCCCAGACUUUUGUGUCAGAGGGAGGAGCAUCUGGGGGCCUGGACUCCUGGGUCCGAGAGAAGGACCUGGGUGCUUGGUUUCCAAGGAAGGAGACACAGACACCUGUGUACCCGAGGGAGAAGUGUGCCCAGGAGCUGGGCUCCUGCGCCCUCGGGGCCUCUCCUAGGUUCAGUUAGGUAAGGUUAAAGCCUGUUCUACUGCCUGACCCUGGAAGGAGGAAGUUUUAUUUCCCUGUGGCUGAGAGAGGCCUUCUGAAAUUGUAGGGUGGAAGCUGAGAGAUUAGAGGUUUUAGGACCUGGGGGAGGAUUUGGACACCUGGUCCCCAGUAGGCUGGACCCUCUCUAUUCCUGAGGGUCUGUAGGACAAGGAGACAGAAGGUUCUGGAGGGACAGAAGAAGGAAGUGGAUUUCCCAAACCACAGGUGUCUGGUGUGCCCAAGGCUGAGGGCCCAGAGUCCUGGGGUCUGAAGCUGUGUAACAGGACGUGAGAGGCCUGGAGGUUUCCGUGGAAGGGGCUGGGUCGCGGAGAGCCAAGCUUCUUGGGCGCCCUGGGGAAUUUGGAGGUUGGACUCCACGUGCGGGAGGGGCCGAGGCGGGCGGAAGCUCGGCGUGCCUGGGUGAAAUACUCCACACCCAAAUCCCAGGUGGGAUUCAGACUGAGGGCCCAGACUCUUGAUCUCCGAGGUGAGAGGGCAUGCGUGCUGUGGAGAGCUCAGGUCCAGUUCCAGAGACAGGUGGGGGGGGGGGGCGGGCAGAGGCUCUGAUCACCUGUGAUCACCUGUGAGUCCCGGAGAACGUUCUCACCCGGGGAGGCUGGAAAUGCCUGCAGGGUGACAGAAGGAAGGUGGGCAGUGGAGCCCUGGGUACCCAGAGGGAGGAGGUGAAGCCCAGUGAAGAGGUCAGAACCUCUUGUGCGGUCGGGGAGGUUUUUGAGUGGCUGGGAGGCUGAGUCCCUGGGGGAAGGAGGGCAGUUUUGAGAGUCUGGGGUGGUUUCACGGUAGCUGGGUUGCAGAGAGAGGGAAGCAGAGACAGCGGCCCAGACUCCUGGGUUCUGCCACAGGACGUGGGAAACCCCAGUCAGGACGGAGGAGGGGGCUGGCACUUGGGUGACCAACUCAGCCCCUUAGGCCUGCCGCGUCUCCCCCCUCCCCCAGCUUGAGUCCUUUGUCCCCAGGGGAGGAAGGGCUGAGGGCCUGGGUUCCCACAUCUGGAACCUUCUUAGGACUCUU
Molecule: long non-coding RNA, 2279 nt
Organism: Lynx canadensis (Canada lynx)
Lineage: Eukaryota; Metazoa; Chordata; Mammalia; Carnivora; Felidae
Source: Ensembl